GUGCACCAGUCGCGAAACCUUCGCAAUGCGGGAAACCGCGACGAGGGGACUCCCAGUGCCUACGCUCAGCGUAGGCUGUUCCCGAGCCUAGAAAGCUCGGGGAGUGAGGGCUGGGUAAGACGGGUGCCAGCCGCCGCGGUAAUACCCGCAGCCCGAGUGGUGGCCACUAUUAUUGGGCCUAAAGCGUCCGUAGCCGGCCCGGUAAAUGCCUGGGUAAAUCGUGAGGCCUAACCUCACGAAUUCCGGGUAGACUGCCGGGCUAGGGACCGGAGGAGGGAGAGGGUACUCCAGGGGUAGGGGUGAAAUCCUGUAAUCCCUGGAGGACCACCGGUGGCGAAGGCGCUCUCCUAGGACGGGUCCGACGGUGAGGGACGAAAGCCAGGGGAGCGAACCGGAUUAGAUACUC
This 406-nucleotide ribosomal RNA is filed under the name uncultured microorganism. RNAcentral describes it as "bacterial SSU rRNA". It matches the Rfam family "Archaeal small subunit ribosomal RNA", at positions 330 to 738 of the family's 1478-position model. The record is from RNAcentral.